CAGCGCCGGGGCUGCUGCAGGUGCUGGGCUGGCACCAGAGUGGCACGACCACAGGCUGCUUUGCUGCUCUCCUCCGCUCCCCGUGGGGAAAGCGUCAAGAUUGGUAUUAGAACAGUUUCAACGGUCAGUCUCUCAUAGCUCCUGACUCUCAGUUUUCACGGUUCUCAAUCUAACCAGCUCCCAGAAGAGGUCUCACCUUAUCUCCGGCAGGUGUGGGAAACUCCCAGCAGUGAGAUGCUGUGUAAUGAUGUUAUCACUCUAGCACCUUGUGCUUCAGGAUCCCAGUAACUAUUCACGGCACGUCCAUCGUAACAGGUCAGAAGUUCUCUUCCCUGUUACAGCCCCUACUUAAUAUAUUUAUAUUACUUUUUCACUUAAUAAUUCUAAUAUGUAAAAUAAACACAAUGGAGGGCCCCUUCUUCACUUGGGGCCCUAGGCAUGUGCUUAACUUGCCUAUGCAGUAAUCUAGCCCUGCUGGAGAGGGCUCCUGCCAGCUCUGCACAGGUCCAGCCCCUACCUGCUCCCCCGGGCUGGCCCCUGGACCACUACCACUGCAGCUGCCUCCCCCCACCCUCCGCCACACAUUGCGAGGUCGGGGUGGGAGGGAGACUGGAGGGCCUACCCCUCCACACACCUGUUUCCGAUUUUCUAGCAUCCAUCCCAGUCCUUGCUGGCUGUCCUGCAGGUCAGAGAGCCCCUCAGUCCUAGAGGGGCCCCUCUAGUCCUAUCACCAGUGGCAGCUGCCUAAGGGGACCCUACAGUGCCAGGAGGGCCCCUCCAAUGCUCCAGCUUCUUUCGCAGCCACCACCCCCAUCCUUCUCCCUUCUGUGAUGUGUUCUGUGCCCCACCCCACAGCAGUGUGCUUCCUCCUACCCUCCUGUGACUGUGUGUGUGUGCUCCCUGGCCCCAGC
Molecule: long non-coding RNA, 911 nt
Organism: Alligator mississippiensis (American alligator)
Lineage: Eukaryota; Metazoa; Chordata; Crocodylia; Alligatoridae
Exons: 3
Source: RefSeq, a predicted model, not a curated record